AAUUGCGAUACCCGUUGAUCCUGCGGGAGAUUACUGCUAUUAGGGUUCCACUUAACCAUGCAAGUCAAGGGGACUCUUCGGAGUCACCGGCGGAAUGCUCAGUAACACGUCGAUAAUCUACCCUAAGGUCUAGAAUAACCAUGGGAAACUGUGGCUAAUACUGGAUAGAAAAUUGAUACUGGAAUGUACUUUUUUUGAAAGUUACGACGCCUUAGGAUGGGUCGGCGGCUGAUUAGCUAGUUGGUGAGGUAAUGGCUCACCAAGGCUCAGAUCAGUACGGGCCUUGAGAGAGGGAGCCCGGAGAAGGACACUGAGAAAAGGGUCCUAGCCCUAAGGGGUGCAGCAGNNAAGACCGGUGCCAGCAGCCGCGGUAACCCCGGCGCCACGAGUGGUAAUCGCGUUUAUUUGGCCUAAAGCGUCCGUAGUCGAUAAAGUCAGUCUUUUGUUAAAUCCUUAUGCUUAACAUAGGGGCCGCAAGAGAUACUGCUUUAUUAGAGAUCGGGAGGAGACAAAGGUAUUCCUUGGGUAGCGGUAAAAUGCGAUAAUCCUUGGAAGACCACCAAUG
RNAcentral lists this ribosomal RNA (565 nucleotides) under Nanobdellota archaeon. RNAcentral describes it as "bacterial SSU rRNA". It matches the Rfam family "Archaeal small subunit ribosomal RNA", at positions 1 to 665 of the family's 1478-position model. The record is from RNAcentral. Lineage: Archaea; Nanobdellati; Nanobdellota.